UACGGGGGGGGCAAGCGUUGUUCGGAAUCACUGGGCGUAAAGCGCACGUAGGCGGAUUGCUAAGUCAGGGGUGAAAUCCUGGAGCUCAACUCCAGAACUGCCCUUGAUACUGGCGGUCUCGAGUCCGGGAGAGGUGAGUGGAACUGCGAGUGUAGAGGUGAAAUUCGUAGAUAUUCGCAAGAACACCAGUGGCGAAGGCGGCUCACUGGCCCGGUACUGACGCUGAGACGCGAAAGCGUGGGGAGCGAACAGG
Molecule: ribosomal RNA, 253 nt
Filed under: uncultured bacterium
Lineage: Bacteria
Description: partial 16S ribosomal RNA
Rfam family: Bacterial small subunit ribosomal RNA
Source: RNAcentral